UAGAACUUUGACAUUGUAACUAAAGCAUAUAAAUAAAAAAAAGAUUACACAAGUUGCUUAAAAUAGUCUCCCUGACAACAUUAAUUUGGAGCUAUAUGCUAUUUGUGAAUCUUACCUCAUGAGAGACAUGGUUAUGAAUCUCUUUAACAUAAAAGGAUAAUGGGGAACUGAAUUUUAGGUGAUAAUCCAUUAUAGAAUUUAUGGAUCCAUGUUGUUAUAGCUAAAAAUGGUUUCUUUUACUUUGUUAGCUUUACAUAUGAUUUUUGUAGGUUUUGGGCUUUC
Molecule: long non-coding RNA, 282 nt
Filed under: Carica papaya (papaya)
Lineage: Eukaryota; Viridiplantae; Streptophyta; Magnoliopsida; Brassicales; Caricaceae
Description: long non-coding RNA (CPAP_LNC000408)
Source: RNAcentral